CCUACGGGAGGCAGCAGUAGGGAAUCUUCCCCAAUGGACGAAAGUCUGAUGGAGCAACGCCGCGUGAGCGAUGAAGGCCUUCGGGUCGUAAAGCUCUGUUGUCAGGGAAGAACAAGUAUCGGAGUAACUGCCGGUACCUUGACGGUACCUGACCAGAAAGCCACGGCUAACUACGUGCCAGCAGCCGCGGUAAU
Molecule: ribosomal RNA, 194 nt
Filed under: uncultured bacterium
Lineage: Bacteria
Description: partial 16S ribosomal RNA
Rfam family: Bacterial small subunit ribosomal RNA
Source: RNAcentral